CAGUUUUACACAUCGUAAUAUUUUUGUAUUUCAAAAAAAAAUUUAAUGUGUGAAAUUGGUAG
Molecule: microRNA precursor, 62 nt
Filed under: Ciona intestinalis (vase tunicate)
Lineage: Eukaryota; Metazoa; Chordata; Ascidiacea; Phlebobranchia; Cionidae
Description: microRNA cin-mir-4159 precursor
Source: miRBase by way of RNAcentral